This 72-nucleotide transfer RNA is filed under the name Seminavis robusta. It matches the Rfam family "tRNA". From Rfam's summary of the family: Transfer RNA (tRNA) molecules are approximately 80 nucleotides in length. Their secondary structure includes four short double-helical elements and three loops (D, anti-codon, and T loops). The record is from Rfam by way of RNAcentral. Lineage: Eukaryota; Bacillariophyta; Bacillariophyceae; Naviculales; Naviculaceae.
GGUGUGGUAGCUCAGUGGCAGAGCAACCGAUUGCAGCUCGGUGAGUCGGAGGUUCGAUUCCUUCCCACACUU